This 446-nucleotide ribosomal RNA is filed under the name uncultured bacterium. Its description in RNAcentral is "partial 16S ribosomal RNA". It matches the Rfam family "Bacterial small subunit ribosomal RNA", at positions 338 to 795 of the family's 1533-position model. The record is from RNAcentral.
CCUACGGGUGGCAGCAGUCGAGAAUCAUUCACAAUGGGGGAAACCCUGAUGGUGCGACGCCGCGUGGGGGAAUGAAGGUCUUCGGAUUGUAAACCCCUGUCAUGUGGGAGCAAAUUAAAAAGAUAGUACCACAAUAGGAAGAGACGGCUAACUCGGUGCCAGCAGCCGCGGUACUACAGAGGUCUCAAGCGUUGUUCGGAAUCACUGGGCGUAAAGCGUGCGUAGGCUGUUUCGUAAGUCGUGUGUGAAAGGCGCGGGCUCAACCCGCGGACGGCACAUGAUACUGCGAGACUAGAGUAAUGGAGGGGGAAGCGGAAUGCGCGGUGUAGCAGUGAAAUGCGUAGAUAUCGCGAGGAACACUCGUGGCGAAGGCGGGUUCCUGGACAUUAACUGACGCUGAGGCACGAAGGCCAGGGGAGCGAAAGGGAUUAGAUACCCCAGUAGUC